RNAcentral lists this ribosomal RNA (207 nucleotides) under uncultured bacterium. RNAcentral's name for it is "partial 16S ribosomal RNA". It matches the Rfam family "Bacterial small subunit ribosomal RNA", at positions 568 to 774 of the family's 1533-position model. The record is from RNAcentral.
UACGCAGACGGCUGUAAAGGUCGGGUGUGAAAGCCCGGGGCUCAACCCCGGAAAUGCAUCCGAAACCGUGCAGCUCGAGUAUGAGAGAGGGGAGCGGAAUUCCUGGUGUAGAGGUGAAAUUCGUAGAUAUCAGGAGGAACAUCUGUGGCGAAGGCGGCUCCCUGGCUCAUUACUGACGUUCAGGUACGAAAGCGUGGGUAGCAAACA